UUAAGCGACUAAGCGUACACGGUGGAUGCCCUGGCAGUCAGAGGCGAUGAAGGACGUGCUAAUCUGCGAUAAGCGCCGGUAAGGUGAUAUGAACCGUUAUAACCGGCGAUUUCCGAAUGGGGAAACCCAGUGUGUUUCGACACACUAUCAUUACGUGAAUACAUAGCGUAAUGAAGCGAACCGGGGGAACUGAAACAUCUAAGUACCCCGAGGAAAAGAAAUCAACCGAGAUUCCCCCAGUAGCGGCGAGCGAACGGGGAGGAGCCCAGAGCCUGAAUCAGCAUGUGUGUUAGUGGAAGCGUCUGGAAAGGCGCGCGAUACAGGGUGACAGCCCCGUACACAAAAGCGCAUGUGCUGUGAGCUCGAUGAGUAGGGCGGGACACGUGGUAUCCUGUCUGAAUAUGGGGGGACCAUCCUCCAAGGCUAAAUACUCCUGACUGACCGAUAGUGAACCAGUACCGUGAGGGAAAGGCGAAAAGAACCCCGGCGAGGGGAGUGAAAAAGAACCUGAAACCGUGUACGUACAAGCAGUGGGAGCACAGGUUUACCUGUGUGACUGCGUACCUUUUGUAUAAUGGGUCAGCGACUUAUAUUCUGUAGCAAGGUUAACCGAAUAGGGGAGCCGUAGGGAAACCGAGUCUUAACCGGGCGUUAAGUUGCAGGGUAUAGACCCGAAACCCGGUGAUCUAGCCAUGGGCAGGUUGAAGGUUGGGUAACACUAACUGGAGGACCGAACCGACUAAUGUUGAAAAAUUAGCGGAUGACCUGUGGCUGGGGGUGAAAGGCCAAUCAAACCGGGAGAUAGCUGGUUCUCCCCGAAAGCUAUUUAGGUAGCGCCUCGUGAAUUCAUCUCCGGGGGUAGAGCACUGUUUCGGCUAGGGGGCCAUCCCGGCUUACCAACCCGAUGCAAACUGCGAAUACCGGAGAAUGUUAUCACGGGAGACACACGGCGGGUGCUAACGUCCGUCGUGAAGAGGGAAACAACCCAGACCGCCAGCUAAGGUCCCAAAGUCAUGGUUAAGUGGGAAACGAUGUGGGAAGGCCCAGACAGCCAGGAUGUUGGCUUAGAAGCAGCCAUCAUUUAAAGAAAGCGUAAUAGCUCACUGGUCGAGUCGGCCUGCGCGGAAGAUGUAACGGGGCUAAACCAUGCACCGAAGCUGCGGCAGCGAACGUAUCACUUAAAGCGAUUCAGCGGGUUACGAUUGACGGAGCGAAGCGACGUCAAAGCGUAUACAAAGUCGAGUCGGUUUAAGGAUACGUUCGUUGGGUAGGGGAGCGUUCUGUAAGCCUGUGAAGGUGUGUCGUGAGGCAUGCUGGAGGUAUCAGAAGUGCGAAUGCUGACAUAAGUAACGAUAAAGCGGGUGAAAAGCCCGCUCGCCGGAAGACCAAGGGUUCCUGUCCAACGUUAAUCGGGGCAGGGUGAGUCGACCCCUAAGGCGAGGCCGAAAGGCGUAGUCGAUGGGAAACGGGUUAAUAUUCCCGUACUUGGUGUUACUGCGAAGGGGGGACGGAGAAGGCUAUGUUGGCCGGGCGACGGUUGUCCCGGUUUAAGCGUGUAGGUGUGUGUUCCAGGUAAAUCCGGUUCACUUUAACACUGAGGCGUGACGACGAGGCACUACGGUGCUGAAGCAACAAAUGCCCUGCUUCCAGGAAAAGCCUCUAAGCAUCAGGUAACAUCAAAUCGUACCCCAAACCGACACAGGUGGUCAGGUAGAGAAUACCAAGGCGCUUGAGAGAACUCGGGUGAAGGAACUAGGCAAAAUGGUGCCGUAACUUCGGGAGAAGGCACGCUGACACGUAGGUGAAGUGAUUUACUCAUGGAGCUGAAGUCAGUCGAAGAUACCAGCUGGCUGCAACUGUUUAUUAAAAACACAGCACUGUGCAAACACGAAAGUGGACGUAUACGGUGUGACGCCUGCCCGGUGCCGGAAGGUUAAUUGAUGGGGUCAGCGCAAGCGAAGCUCCUGAUCGAAGCCCCGGUAAACGGCGGCCGUAACUAUAACGGUCCUAAGGUAGCGAAAUUCCUUGUCGGGUAAGUUCCGACCUGCACGAAUGGCGUAAUGAUGGCCAGGCUGUCUCCACCCGAGACUCAGUGAAAUUGAACUCGCUGUGAAGAUGCAGUGUACCCGCGGCAAGACGGAAAGACCCCGUGAACCUUUACUAUAGCUUGACACUGAACAUUGAGCCUUGAUGUGUAGGAUAGGUGGGAGGCUUUGAAGUGUGGACGCCAGUCUGCAUGGAGCCGACCUUGAAAUACCACCCUUUAAUGUUUGAUGUUCUAACGUGGACCCGUAAUCCGGGUUGCGGACAGUGUCUGGUGGGUAGUUUGACUGGGGCGGUCUCCUCCUAAAGAGUAACGGAGGAGCACGAAGGUUGGCUAAUCCUGGUCGGACAUCAGGAGGUUAGUGCAAUGGCAUAAGCCAGCUUGACUGCGAGCGUGACGGCGCGAGCAGGUGCGAAAGCAGGUCAUAGUGAUCCGGUGGUUCUGAAUGGAAGGGCCAUCGCUCAACGGAUAAAAGGUACUCCGGGGAUAACAGGCUGAUACCGCCCCAAGAGUUCAUAUCGACGGCGGUGUUUGGCACCUCGAUGUCGGCUCAUCACAUCCUGGGGCUGAAGUAGGUCCCAAGGGUAUGGCUGUUCGCCAUUUAAAGUGGUACGCGAGCUGGGUUUAGAACGUCGUGAGACAGUUCGGUCCCUAUCUGCCGUGGGCGCUGGGAGAACUGAGGGGGCUGCUCCUAGUACGAGAGGACCGGAGUGGACGCAUCACUGGUGUUCGGGUUGUCAUGCCAAUGGCACUGCCCGGUAGCUAAAUGCGGAAGAGAUAAGUGCUGAAAGCAUCUAAGCACGAAACUUGCCCGAGAUGAGUUCUCCCUGAGACUUAGAGUCUCCUGAAGGAACGUUGAAGACGACGACGUUGAUAGGCCGGGUGUGUAAGCGCAGCGAUGCGUUGAGCUAACCGGUACUAAUGAACCGUGAGGCUUAACCUU
Molecule: ribosomal RNA, 2987 nt
Filed under: Salmonella enterica subsp. enterica
Lineage: Bacteria; Pseudomonadati; Pseudomonadota; Gammaproteobacteria; Enterobacterales; Enterobacteriaceae
Description: bacterial LSU rRNA
Rfam family: Bacterial large subunit ribosomal RNA
Source: RNAcentral